GGUAGUCCACGCUGUAAACGAUGGUCACUAGAUGUGGGGGUAUCGACCCCCUCCGCGUCGAAGCUAACGCGAUAAGUGACCCGCCUGGGGAGUACGGCCGCAAGGCUAAAACUCAAAGGGAAUUGACGGGGGCCCGCACAAGCAGCGGAGCGUGUGGUUUAAUUCGAUGCGACGCGAAGAACCUUACCUGGGUUAAAUCUACUCUGACCGCCGGUGAAAAGCCGGCUUCCCUUCGGGGGCAGAGUGGAAGGUGCUGCACGGCUGUCGUCAGCUCGUGCCCGUGAGGUGUUGGGUUAAG
This 298-nucleotide ribosomal RNA is filed under the name uncultured bacterium. RNAcentral describes it as "partial 16S ribosomal RNA". It matches the Rfam family "Bacterial small subunit ribosomal RNA", at positions 789 to 1084 of the family's 1533-position model. The record is from RNAcentral.